This 192-nucleotide unclassified non-coding RNA is filed under the name uncultured Agaricomycetes. Its description in RNAcentral is "sequence contains ITS1". Lineage: Eukaryota; Fungi; Basidiomycota; Agaricomycetes. The record is from RNAcentral.
ACGUGUUCUCCGACGGCGAGUGGCGCCCCGCUCCGGCACCGUAAGGGCCGUGCAGCGGGCGCCGCCAGCCGCUCGACCUUAUAAACCCACCGUGCACUCUUGUCGGCAGAGGGGCCCUCGCGGGCUCCGAGCCGGAUCCACAAACACGAUUGAAACAGAAUGUAUGCAGACUCGGUUCUGCCCAAACUUUGA